Molecule: ribosomal RNA, 499 nt
Filed under: uncultured bacterium
Lineage: Bacteria
Description: partial 16S ribosomal RNA
Rfam family: Bacterial small subunit ribosomal RNA
Source: RNAcentral
ACUCAAAUGAAUAGACGGGGGCCCGCACAAGCAGCGGAGCAUGUGCUUUAAUUCGACGCAACGCGAAGAACCUUACCAGGGCUUGACAUGCACGGGAAUACCGUAGAGAUACGGUAGCCCUUCGGGGCUCGUGCACAGGUGUUGCAUGGCCGUCGUCAGCUCGUGUCGUGAGAUGUUGGGUUAAGUCCCGCAACGAGCGCAACCCCUGUCCUUAGUUGCCAGCGAGUAAUGUCGGGGACUCUAGGGAGACUGCCGGCGACAAGUCGGAGGAAGGUGGGGAUGAUGUCAGGUCAGCAUGACCCUUAUGUCCUGGGCUAGACACGUGCUACAUUGGCCGGUACAGAGGGCUGCAAACCCGCGAGGGGGAGCGAAUCCCAAAAAACCGGUCCCGGUUCGGAUUGGAGGCUGAAACUCGCCUCCAUGAAGGCGGAGUUGCUAGUAAUCGCGGAUCAGCAACGCCGCGGUGAAUACGUUCUCGGGCCUUGUACACACCGCCCGU